UACACUUGUUUAUGUUUUUGUUUAACUUGUGGUCAAAGACUUAUAGACAGGUGCAAAAACUAAAUCAUCUUUUCCAACCCAGAGCUCAUUGUUCAGUAUGAGUUUUGAUACAUAUAAGAAGACAUACU
This is a small nucleolar RNA of Colobus angolensis palliatus, 128 nucleotides long. The record is from Ensembl. NCBI's taxonomy places the organism in Eukaryota, Metazoa, Chordata, Mammalia, Primates, Cercopithecidae.